This 402-nucleotide ribosomal RNA is filed under the name Fusobacteriota bacterium. Its description in RNAcentral is "Fusobacteria bacterium partial 16S ribosomal RNA". It matches the Rfam family "Bacterial small subunit ribosomal RNA", at positions 355 to 776 of the family's 1533-position model. Lineage: Bacteria; Fusobacteriati; Fusobacteriota. The record is from RNAcentral.
UGGGGAAUAUUGCACAAUGGGGAAACCCUGAUGCAGCCACCCCGCGUGAGCGAAGAAGGGUUUCGAAUCGUAAAGCCCCGUCCUAUGGGAAGAUAAUGACGGUACCAUAGGAGGAAGCCCCGGCUAACCACGUGCCAGCAGCCGCGGUAAUACGUAGGGGGCAAGCGUUGUCCGGAAUCACUGGGCGUAAAGGGUUCGCAGGCGGAAAUGCAAGUCAGUUGUGAAAGGCAGAGGCUCAACCUCUGUAAGCAAUUGAAACUGUAUUUCUUGAGAUGUGGAGAGGCAAGUGGAAUUCCUAGUGUAGCGGUGAAAUGCGUAGAUAUUAGGAAGAAUACCGGUGGCGAAGGCGACUUGCUGGACACAAACUGACGCUGAGGAACGAAAGCGUGGGUAGCAAACAGG